UAACCUGCCCAAUAGAUCGGGAUAACACCUGGAAACAGAUGCUAAUACCGGAUAACAACANAUGAUGCCUAUCAACUGUUUAAAAGAUGGUUCUGCUAUCACUCUUGGAUGGACCUGCGGUGCAUUAGCUAGUUGGUAGGGUAACGGCCUACCAAGGCGAUGAUGCAUAGCCGAGUUGAGAGACUGAUCGGCCACAUUGGGACUGAGACACGGCCCAAACUCCUACGGGAGGCAGCAGCU
Molecule: ribosomal RNA, 240 nt
Filed under: uncultured Lactobacillus sp.
Lineage: Bacteria; Bacillati; Bacillota; Bacilli; Lactobacillales; Lactobacillaceae
Description: partial 16S ribosomal RNA
Rfam family: Bacterial small subunit ribosomal RNA
Source: RNAcentral